UGCGUAGGCGGAAUAUUAAGUCAGUGGUGAAAUCUCUCGGCUCAACCGAGAAACUGCCAUUGAUACUGUUAUUCUUGAGUAUAGUUGUAGUGGGCGGAAUAUAGCAUGUAGCGGUGAAAUGCUUAGAUAUGCUAUAGAACACCGAUCGCGAAGGCAGCUCACUAAACUAUAACUGACGCUCAGGCACGAAAGCGUGGGGAGCAAACAGGAUUAGAUACCCUGGUAGUCC
RNAcentral lists this ribosomal RNA (229 nucleotides) under uncultured bacterium. Its description in RNAcentral is "partial 16S ribosomal RNA". It matches the Rfam family "Bacterial small subunit ribosomal RNA", at positions 568 to 796 of the family's 1533-position model. The record is from RNAcentral.